GAGAAGGGCCCUUAGCAGGAAGCGCCACCUCAGCAGAGUAGGUGCAGGGCCAGAGCUAGUAGCCAGGAGAGGAGCGAGGGUGCUCCACAGCGACCUCAGCAGGUGGCCUGGUCUUGCCCACUCCAGGGCUCCCAUCCUUCCUUUGGGCUCCGCUCUAACACUGGUGGCUCUGGAGGGAGGGUGGGACCCAUCCUUUUUCAAAACCUUUCCUGAAGACCACAGGGGAGCUAGCCUUGCAGGCUAGGGAGCAAGAGUGGCAACAGGCCAAGGCGAGCCCUUACCAAUUGGGAAUCCCACU
This 298-nucleotide long non-coding RNA is filed under the name Homo sapiens (human). Its description in RNAcentral is "HSALNT0003726". Lineage: Eukaryota; Metazoa; Chordata; Mammalia; Primates; Hominidae. The record is from RNAcentral.